This 381-nucleotide unclassified non-coding RNA is filed under the name uncultured fungus. RNAcentral describes it as "partial contains small subunit ribosomal RNA, internal transcribed spacer 1, and 5.8S ribosomal RNA". The stretch from base 1 to 73 matches the Rfam family "Eukaryotic small subunit ribosomal RNA", at positions 1759 to 1831 of the family's 1831-position model. The record is from RNAcentral. Lineage: Eukaryota; Fungi.
GCAAACUUGGUCAUUUAGAGGAAGUAAAAGUCGUAACAAGGUUUCCGUAGGUGAACCUGCGGAAGGAUCAUUAAAAAUGUCCCUGCCGAACCCAUAAGGCUCGGGGAUUACACCACUGACCCGCACGUCCCCGCCCCCGAACCCUCGGGGGGAGGGCGCGUGUAGAAGUCGCGGUUUAUGUGUCCACCCUCUGUGAAACUUAAAACCUUGCUUCGGCAGCACCUUUCGGGAAACCGUUGGGGUAAGGCUGCCCGAGGCACCAAACGAAACUAGUUGAUGAAAUGUCAUGCUGUCUGAUACACUGUAAAAUUUGAGAAAUCAAAUGUCGUUAAAACUUUCAGCAACGGAUCUCUUGGUUCCCGCAUCGAUGAAGAACGCAGC